UGGUCCUACGGGGCGCAGCAGUGAGGAAUAUUGGUCAAUGGGCGCGAGCCUGAGCCAGCCAAGUCGCGUGAGGGAUGACGGUCCUACGGAUUGUAAACCUCUUUUGCCGGGGAGCAAGCGUGCGUUCGUGAACGCGCGUCGAGAGUACCCGGAGAAAAAGCAUCGGCUAACUCCGUGCCAGCAGCCGCGGUAAUACGGAGGAUGCGAGCGUUCUCCGGAUUUAUUGGGUUUAAAGGGUGCGUAGGCGGGAUGCCAAGUCAGCGGUAACAAUGCGGUGCUCAACGCCGUC
This 289-nucleotide ribosomal RNA is filed under the name uncultured bacterium. RNAcentral's name for it is "partial 16S ribosomal RNA". It matches the Rfam family "Bacterial small subunit ribosomal RNA", at positions 334 to 619 of the family's 1533-position model. The record is from RNAcentral.